AUGUAUUUCCAAAAUCAAAUUCUAACUAAACAAUCAUGGCAACAAUAAUUAAUAAACUAACUUUUAAUAUUCUUUGUCUUUUCCUUUUUUAUUAUACAUAUGUGUGUUUGAAAAUAAUUAAUUUCAUAUAUACAUUUCGUAAUUACAUACAUUAUACGGUAAUUAUUUUACUAAUUCCACAUAUACAUAAUAAAUAGUAUACAACAAUUUUAUUAUAUAUAGUCAUAAAAUUGUGAUCCACAAAAACAGUUUAUACAACAAUUUUAUUAUAUAUAAUCAUAAAAUUUUGAUCCAUAAAAAAUAAAAAUACAUUUGUGUGACUUUACACGUCAUAUUCUAAAUAAAUAGAUGAUAUAAUUUAGGAUUUGCAUGAUAAAAUAAAACUACUCAAUACAAACUAUAAAACUAUUGUGUUUAGAAAUGUCAUAUUAAAAAAAAAUUAAACGGGUAAAUUUUAAAAUAUAUAUUGUCACUUAUACAAAUAAAUAUUCAUUUAUAAAAAACUAACACCCGCGCGGGUGCGCGGGUCAAGCUCUAGUAAGCUAUUAAAAAUUAUAGGCUAGUCCAACAAUUAAUACAUUUUCUGAAAAUCUUUGAAACCAUCUAUCUUGGUGGCAAGGUCCUUUCUGUUUUACUACCCUUUUUGAUUUUCGAAAUUGAUUCCCAUUAUUAAAUCGGGAUGUGAGUAAAGCUAGAGUCUUUGUUUCUGGGUUUAUCUUAAAACUUGCUUGAAUUUUCUAGGGGUUGUUGAGACAGCUUGUCUUAUGGCCUCUGAUGGUUAUAGCGGAGAGGCUUUUUUAUUCAUUUUGAUGGUAAAGGGUGGCAUGUAAUGAGGUUUCUCUACCAUUUUGAUUCCAGAUGAGCGUGUGGCUACUGAGCUAAAGAAAGCCAUCAUGCAAGCCUGCACUGAGAAGAAGCUUACCCAGUCCCAACUUGCUCAAGUUUAGGGAAGAAUGGUGAGCUGGUGAGAAAAUCGAGUGGGAACAGGAGCCCUAAGUCGAUUGUUGAACCAGCAAAGUAUGUAGAGAAGCCAGCCAAAUGGGGGAAUCAGAAGGUUGCUCCACGAAACAUCCACCAGCCUCGUUGAAGUGGGGAUUGUGUUAACUAGUCAGGGUAUGUUGUAUCUUUAGCCACUAUACCUUUGUAAUUUUUAGUAUUUGCUUUCAACAAGAGAACAUGUGCACACACAUAUAACAACAACAACAAGAAAACAAUGUUUAAAUUUUUUUUUAAGAACCUUUAAUUAAGAGACUAGCAUUGGAGCAUAAAAAUAUUAGUCUCUUAAUUUGGUCUCUUAAGUAAUAUUUAUUGUUUAAAAAUGAUUAAGAGACUCAAAGUGGGUUUUUGGUUUAAUGAUGCUCUUAUUCCUUAUCCUUCUGAAAACAAAAUCAAAUUUUCAUACUUUGCAUUGACUUUGGAUGUAAUACUUUCUAGAUAAUAAUUGGCAAGUUUCUCAAAAUCAUCAUUUCCUUUACUUGGCAGGGGCAUCAGCACCGAGAAGCCAUCAAUGUAAGUUGCUGACUUGUAACACUGAAGAUUACUGAAGAAAGCUCCUCCGUAACUUGCUGCUAUCCUAUCAAGCUCUCUAGACUUGAUUCCUUGCCACCACAUAUGACACAGCCAUUGCAUUAACCCCAUACAUCUACUAUGUUCGUAACAUUGCUCAUAUCGUUUCCACUUAUCAUAUUCAGUUAAUACUCCACCAGGUUCCCAUACUCUUGGACUGUGAUCAACGAGAAUGAUCAUCUGCUCCUUACACUUCCAGUCAUAGCUCUCAAUCCCAAUCAACGCUGCUAAGUUAAAAUCAGUGCAUACAUGAAUCUUUAACGUGAAAUGAGUCUUUGUAGUUAACCCCAACACUUCAUCAUGACUGAGGUACGGCUCUAAACAUUCAAGAGAAACUCCAAUACCAAGAGCAGUAGUCACGAUCUCCUCUUGAAACCGAGCAUCCAUAUCUCCAAAAGGCCUUGAGAAUAUCUUCACAUCAAGCUUUAUCAUCAUUGAACACACCAACUCUAUCAUGUGAAGCCAUCUCAUCAUUCUCAUAGUUGCAGAGCCUACAACUAUUAGAACACAUGAUUUCCUCAUCUCUUGACUCUUUAACAAGCAGUGACAUUAGCUUCUGAUACUUAAAACCAUAAACUGCCAGCUUAACCCAUACUUCUAGAUUAAGAUGAGGAAGUACCUUGAAGCUCAUCUUUUCAUUCACCAUCCAAGUCUGGGUUUCUUCUGCCGAGAACACCUCCAAAGUAUUAUGUAAACAAGUCUCAUGAGUUUUGGCGUUUAACUUUAGCACUACACCAUGCUUGAGGUACUUGUCUAAGCAGUUCCACGGUGCUUGCUUGCCUACAGACCCACCUGGCUCCCAUACAAGAUGAGCCUUUUGAGACUGACAAGCUUGGCUUAUUUUCUCAGGCAAUACAUAUAUUGCCUGGCCAUGUAAAACUGCUUCAGUCUAAAGCAUCUGUCGAUCUGGCUUGACCAGACAUCCACCUGGUUCCCAUAUACGAUCAGCCUUUAGAGUAUGUUCCCCCACCAUGUGUUGGAUCUUAUUACCAAGAGAGAAACUCAUGUUUUCUUCUGCAUCACUUUCGUUUUGUUCUUCUUUCUGUCCUGCAACAUCAAAGAUCUGCAAAUCUGAAGUGAAACUCUCCAGCGAUUCAUAGAAAGAAUCUGGCUUCAUCAUAGUUUUGGUAACAAACUCAUCAGAUUCGACCAAGCUUUCUUCAAGGAUGAGCUCGUCGUUGUUUUUAGUCACCAUGGCCUCGUCACUCUCAGUCACGAGAAUCUUCACUCCUUUGUGCUUCAAAUUAUGAUGACCAGGUGUAUCUCAAUCAUCACAAAAUAUGCAUAACCCAUUUGACAUCCUGUCAUAAACUUCCUCACAUGAAUAUUUCAGAGGCAUCAUGCGCUGAGCAGCCAUGGAAACCGAUUUGCCGAGGAUGGAUGGCUCUGAUACCAUUGUAACAGGGAAACAAGUAAUGAUAGAUGAACAUGAUGAUAGAGAGAGUUAGGGUUUAAGAAGAUUGUUUUAAUGUUUGAUUGAUUAUUCCCAAAGGGAUAAACGUUUACAUAUAGGGUUUACUAAACCAAACGACUAAACCAUAAAGCUAAACCAAUUAUUAAAGAAUUAAACCAAAGAGAUUAAAUAACUAAACCAAAAGGAUAACCAGUUUAUCCUGUCACAUUGCUGCUCUUGCUCUCCCUGUAUAGCUGAAGUUCCCUCUCGUGGCGAACCUACGCAACAAUCACAAGAUAACCAAAAAGACAAUAACUCAAAACCAAUUCUGCCUUACACCAGUCGCAAAAAGACCAAAAAGGAAAGAAACUUGUGCGACACGAAACGAUGUGUGUUUAUGUUUUACGUUCUUGAUGCAACACGCUCACAGGUCCUUUGAUUGCCUUACGGAUCCGUUCAUUGUGUAAUCUUAAGGAGUCUGGAUUUUUGAGUACAGAUUAAAAAAUCAAAUAUACUAUAAGAUUUUCCUUUUAUUCAAUUCUUUUUGUUUUUUUUUUCUUAAGCUUUGUUUCGUUCUUUAUCAUCCAAAUUAAAAAAAUAUAGAAAGAAUGAAAAAAAGGAAAAUCUUGGCCACUAUUUAAUAACCUCUCUCAUUCACUUGUGCGUGCUAAUGUUAGAAAAAAACAAUGUUUGAGAGAGGAGCAAAUUGUUCGUUAAUAAUGUUGGAGAGUGGAGAACAAGCAACGAUUGAUAUUGAGGCAACUGUGUCAUGCAAGUGUUCAUCCAACACUUUAGAGAUAAGACUAAAGCGCCAUACAGAAGUGCUUCUCGUACACCAGCGUGACGGAUCCGUGGACAUUAUCGGAUCACAGAAGGCUCCUCCAUUCCCAAUCCCUCACAUCCUCCUAAAAGACAUCGGUAGCUUUGAUCCGCACAACAUCGACCCUCUUCUCCAAUUAGACCCUGUUUUGUGCAAUCAUAUUUAUGUUAUAAUCGCUUCCAAAGCAGCCGAGGAGCGAGUUCCAGGGCCAUUAUACAUCUCCCUAUACGUCACAGUCACCCCACACAGAUUCAUAGGGGACGAUAUUCCUUUCCCUGAACAAGACGAGGAGAUGGAGACAUGCGGCAUUUGUUUGGAGGAGCUAAAUCCGAGGGGUGAAAUCUAUUUCGACAUGCCAAAUUGUUCUCAUCAGUUUCAUGAUAUAUGUAUAUCCAGGUGGUUGAGGCGUAGCAAGACUUGCCCUCUCUGCCGCACUUUUGCUGAUUAUGAUGAUUGACAACCAUGCAUCUCUUCUAUUUUUUUUUUUUUUUUUGUCAAACUUAUUGAAUUCUGUUUUUUUUUUCUCUAAUUUUUAAUGUUCAUGUCAGAUUUCUUGUCUCUCACUCCUUCCUUGUGAUUAGGGUUCACUUAAUAAUUUCUCGGAUUUUUCUGACCCAUCUUUGAAAGACAUAGUUUACCACUCUGUAGCAUAGCUUCUUAAGGUUAAUUUAUUUGCAACUCUAACCCCCAACAAAUUGUGUUUCUUCAAAAAUCGAUUUGAGACAUCAUCACCAUGUUCCUCUGGACCAAAACUUGACAAGACCAAAUUCCAUUUUUGUACUGAAAACUAUAUGAUUCUAGGAACCAGUCUAAGUCUCUUCUCUGUCUUCACCUUCUUCCUCCAUUUUUCGAACAUAGCUUGUGUUUUGAUAUGUCUGUUCCACUAGCGUUAGAAUUAAAUGAAUCUUCCUCACUCGCUUGCUCGAUCCAACUUUCUGAUAACUUCUUUGAAAUCACGCCAAAAAUCAAGCACUCUUACGCCAAAUACCUUCUUUUGAUAUGUCAUUCAUGUUGAAUCAAUGUUUUUAAACUCUGCUUUUCGUUUUUUAACACAAAUAGUAUACACGCAAAACUCGUGCUUUUUGUUUGUUUUUGAACAACUUCUUUUAACCUUAAAAAAAACCUUAGGAGCCGCAACAACAUGAUCAUGGUUAGAGUUUCGUAACGAGUUGGACAUAUUCUUUGAGAUAAAUACGGUCCUUCAGGUUUUGGAGCGCUACGAUACAUGAUCCGAGUUUUUAUACUCUGGUUCUGACUUCUUGUUUGAGACAAGUUCCAUAAGGUAGAACAACAUUAAAUUAAAAUACAAACCCUAAAACACUUAAAAAAUUCGUCAAAACAGUUUUUUUUCUUAGCCGUCCAUUUUCUAAAGGUUUGAACACUAAUAGGGAGUAACAUGGUCAUACAUAGAUUAUAUAGUUCAAAAAAGACAUGGUCAUAGAUUCCACACAAGUAGUAUACACGCAUACGACAUAUAUUAACACACACGCAGACACACAAAUCUCUUACCACAAAAAUAUGAUCUUAAAAUGGUUGUUUAUGGUCUUCAAAUGGUUUUACUCCACUUCCUAUGUCCUAUCUCCACAAAAUGUACGUAUGAGUGAAGCAUUAUUCCUUAUACUUUCUCAACAAUGAAAUCAAAACUGCACACUUUGAAUUCACUAAUACAUUGGAGUGGGCUGAGACUAUUAUCUCCACUGCCUUUUGGAAGAAGGCAACUGAAGAUAAAAUAAGCUUAAACUAGAGCCAAUUCUCUGUUUGUCUCAGAUCCGAUGGUAACUUAGUUUGACUCAUUAUUACUUAUCUUAUUCACAUAUCUACUAAUAAUAGCAAUCCCAAUUAAUUUAAAAGGUUGUGAAUUUCACUUAUGUUGAAAGGUUGUGUAUUUUCAACAAUUAAAAAUUGUGAUUACUUAAAUUGAAAAGUUGUGACUCUUCAUAUAAGUAUUAUUACAAAAAGACACAACAUUUUAAUUCAAAAGAUAUGACUCUUCAAACAAAUUUUUGAAAAUCUAUAAAUGGUCCAAUGUUCAUGCCUUCUCAAAGCAUAAUUUUCAUUAAUCAAAUAAAAUGGUGAAGAAAAGAACAAUUAAUAAUAGCAAACCCAAACAAUGUUGAAAAAUGGUGUGUUUUAUAGGAAUUUUAUUUUUUUGUUAAAAGUUGUGUCAUUAUAUAUUAAGACAUGUCAUUUCAUUAUUUGUUUCAAGAGGAUGGGGAUACACAUAAAAGGAGAGAUGGCGAGAGAAAACAUCGAGACUGCGGUGGUGGUGAAAACAGACAAGGGAAAAAUUCAGAGAGAGAGAGACACGCUUGUUUGUUUCCAUAACAAAAAAAUUCCACUGUACGUGAUGGAGAAAAUCUGUAGGACCCUUGAUGAUGUCGUCUCAUGGUUUGGUGCGGUUGUUACGCUGCGGGGAGUUAAACCCAUUUUGAAACUCAUUUUUCAUGAAGUUAUUUAUUUUCUAUGGAGAGAGAGGAAUACCCGACAUCACUCCUCUGUUCUAAAACCGGCCUCCUUGGUCUUGAUCAAGAUACUGCUUCUAAGAGUCUGACUUUGCCUAAUGUGAAUCCACUCCCCGUUAAAUUCAAAAUCGGUAGAAAAGAAUUCAUCAAAAUAAAACAUCAACAUCAUUAUUAUUUUAGAAUCAAUUUUUUAUUUUAUUUAGAAUCAAUUUUGUUUACCCCAGGACUCAUACAUCACUAGCUUUAGACAUUCAUAUUCAAAACCGAAGGAUUUCAAAAAAUAACAUUUAAUGCAAGAAUUGAUUGCUCGCUUGAUUCAAAAAUGGGAAUCACAAACUUGAAGGAGAUGAAGCAUUUCACUGAGCCAAGAACUUUUGCUUGUCGAUGAAAAUGUAGGCUUUAUAAUAAGUAUUUUAAAUUUUGAUUCUGUUUAUUCAUCUAUUUAAAUUUUAUCCUUUUUAGAGGAUUUGAUAUAAAAGCUACUAUUGAUCAUCCGCUAAUACAUUAUACACUUUCAAAGAAGGAUAUAUCUACCAUAUUAGUAACUUUGACAUAAAAACAAUUAAUGAUCUAACUGUGAUCGAGAGAGAAGAUUAGUUUACUGUCCCAAGUGAGCGAGAAGAUUUUACGGCUUUUCGAGAAUGACGACCAACUGGAUCAGACGCUAAUGAAUGGAAUCUCCCAAGAGAAUAUGAAUAACAACCUUAUGCAGGAAGCCCUGGAAGAAAGGUGGCCAAAGUAUAUUACACUUUGCUGCUGUUCUUGGUUACAGAUGGGUAUCAGAACCUACAGUAGUUGCUGGUGUAAGUGUUCAAGUGGAUUGUUCGUUGGCCAAAAAAUAAAACGCAAUUCACUCCAUCUCAUCCCACGCAUUCCUAACCAUUCAAAAAGAUAAUGGAUUAAAGAGACAUUCAAAUAGCGUCAAUUGGAUUGAUUUAUGUUCCUGGAGCAAGCGGUGAAAAGAAAAUUAAAAGUGGCAGAAAUCAAACAAGAUAUCAAACAGACAUCAAACACGUGCAAGAGAAAGAUUAAUUUAUGUUCCUGGACAUCAAACAAGAGAUCAAGACAUUGAUUUAUGUUCAUGGACAAAUACGUAUUUCAAAAAAAAAGGAGGAAGAUUAACACAAAUUAAAAGUGGCAGAAAUUAAUUCCUAAGAAUUGUAUCUUUUCAUCAAAAACUGAAAUUAAUUUUGUUUUUCCAACAUGCAACUAUUGGAAUUUUGUUUUAAAAUAGUUAUAAUAUUUUAAUAAGUGUCUUUUUAAAAUUAUUAGGUUUAAGAGUCAUGUCUUCUCAUUAUAAAAGUUGUGUCUCUUCAGGACAAUAAUUGAGAUUAAUUUAUUUUCCAGUAUGCAAUUAUAGGAAAGUAAAAAUAAAAAGUAGUUACAAAUAUAUCAAGAAGUGUCUUUCUACUUUUUUUGGAAUGCAACUACUGAAAUUUUCUUUAAAACUAUGUAUAAUAUUUUAAUAAGUGUCUUUAUUAGUUUUGAAAGUCAUGGAUUCUAAUUAUAAGAGUGUGUCUUUUCAUAAAAAAAAUUAUGUUUUUCCAACAUGAAACUAUUAAAAAAGUUUUUCAAAGUAGCUAAAUCUCAAUCAAUAAGUGUCUUUAUACAAUUCUUAGUAUUAAGAGUUGUGUCUUCUCAUUAUAAAAGACAAAUUAAUUUUCAAUUAGUUGUUAAAAUAUCUCAAUAAGUGUCUCUUUUAUAAUUAUGUGUCUUUUCAUAUGCAAUAGAAUGUCUUUUGUAAUGUUUUGUUUAUUCAUAAUAUAUUGUAAAUGUACUAUUUUAUAGUAACUAAAUAUUCUUGAAUCCAAAAAAAAGUUAAAAGUUGUUUGUUUUCAUAUUUAAAUGUGCUUUUUUCAUCUUAAAAGUUGCUUUGAUGUAAAAGAAGUUAGCAAAAUAUAUAAGUAUGUAUUUUUCAUCUUAAUAUCAUGUCUUUUUGUUUUAAUAAUUAUAUUAGUUAAAGUUUUUUAAAUGUCUAAAAUAUAUGAGGAUGAUUUUUUUAACAGUUUAAGUGAAUCAUUGCAAUUAUUUGGUGGAACAGUUACAACUGAUUAAAUAGAAGAUUGCAACUGUUGAUCAUAUAAUUUUUAGUAAUGAACCAUUGCAAUUUCUCGUGAUUAACCACUGCAACUGUUGGUGAUUGUAAUUCUUGGUGAUAACUCAUUGCAACUUUUGGUAUUAACUAACCAUUGCAAUUUUUCAUCUUCUAUAUAAAAAGUUUUGGACGUUAACAAAUUAAAAACCAGAAAAUCACAAAAAUCACAAAUAAACUAGAAAAUAGAGAGAUUCAUUGUUAAUGAUCAUUAAAGAUCUUUGAAAACACAUAUAAACAUGAACUCUUUUUGUUAUGCUUAUAUCUUAACCUAAACAUGUAAUUUUUUUUGAAAAACCAAUAACAUUCUAGAGUAUUUUUAUCUCAAUAUUACUUCGACUGAAUAAGAAAGGAUAUGAUGAUUAUACUUUAUGAUUCUUGUGAUGAAAUCAAGCCAUGACAUUAAUUUCGACUUGUUCUAAUUCAACCCUAACAUUUUAUUUUAUU
This is a long non-coding RNA of Brassica rapa (field mustard), 8780 nucleotides long. RefSeq lists it as uncharacterized. Lineage: Eukaryota; Viridiplantae; Streptophyta; Magnoliopsida; Brassicales; Brassicaceae. The record is from RefSeq and is a predicted model, not a curated record.